CUUUACAGUGAAUUACAGCACUGUGAAAACAUAACACUAUGUGAAAACAUAUUAUAUUACAGAUUGCAUCAUAAGGUGGUUUGAUUAAUUAGACAAUACUAGUUUCUGUUGACAUCAAGUAUUCUUACUUUACCAAAUCAAAUUAUAAAGAGUUUCGCAACAAGAACAAAAUGUUUUUCACCAGAGGAAAAAAAAAAGGUAAUUAUGUUUUGAUAUCAUGGCCCCAGUUCUCAGGUUGCACUAACCUGCACUCCGCAAGAGAUUCAUGGAAUGGAUUUUACAUGAGUCUCCACCAGACAGAGCUUCCUCUGCACUCAGGAAAUUAUGGUUUCUGUGUAUUACAAGAAAAAACAAGCUGUGUCAGAGCUGCAAACCAGGUACUCCAUCUUCAUCAGCAUAAUUUGUUGGGUAAACUGCAUCUGGCUCUGUCUGUAAGCAGUGGGAUGUCGACUCUUCUUGGAAGGAGACAGAUUUGGGACAGAGGAGUUGACAGAAGUGGCUGCUUUUCAUAGGUGUCACAUUGAACUGCUGCAGUUUUUGUGGGCUGUGUCCCAACCUUUCCUACACUAUGAGUCUGCUGCGUUACAUCAAUACAUAAAUGCACAGUUAGAGAUUCUGUCCAUUUUGUGUGUAUGUUCAAAGAUCUUGCAAGAACAAGGGAAAGGGCAAAAACCUGUUUCAUGUGGCUUGCUAACUGUGGGUGAGCAAAAUUUGCCUAGAGUUCAAGCACAUCUCACAUGCAAGCCGGACAGCUGCCUGGGGAACUGCCAGUCUGGAGGUGCAAGUGAUUUACCUUGUGUGAAGCCCACCACACAGUUGCUCCAAAAACCUCUCUUGAACAUGUCUUCUCCUCUAGCCCUACUGCUGCAAAAAUCAUGUUGUGCAUUUUCCCAUCUUUGCAUCCACCUCCAUGUUGCAGUUAAACCUAUAGUGAGUAAUUAAUUUUACUCACUAAGAAGCACCUACAAAAGUUGACAGUUCGGUGUGCCCUGCACAUCUUUUCUGACAAGGAUAACAACCUUUUGAUUUUGCAGCUUGUGCUUCUUGCAAACCUGCCUUCAUUUUCUGAUGUUUUGAAAUUAUUACAGAAGUCUAACCAAGGUAAAUAAAAACAAUUUGACAAUAAUCA
This 1129-nucleotide long non-coding RNA is filed under the name Numida meleagris (helmeted guineafowl). RNAcentral describes it as "lncRNA (ENSNMEG00000006744.1)". Lineage: Eukaryota; Metazoa; Chordata; Aves; Galliformes; Numididae. The record is from RNAcentral.